This 492-nucleotide ribosomal RNA is filed under the name uncultured bacterium. RNAcentral describes it as "partial 16S ribosomal RNA". It matches the Rfam family "Bacterial small subunit ribosomal RNA", at positions 29 to 507 of the family's 1533-position model. The record is from RNAcentral.
AGUGAGCGCUGGCGGUAGGCCUAACACAUGCAAGUCGAACGGCAGCACAGUAAGAGCUUGCUCUUACGGGUGGCGAGUGGCGGACGGGUGAGGAAUACAUCGGAAUCUACUUUUUCGUGGGGGAUAACGUAGGGAAACUUACGCUAAUACCGCAUACGACCUACGGGUGAAAGCAGGGGAUCCUCGGACCUUGCGCGAUUGAAUGAGCCGAUGUCGGAUUAGCUAGUUGGCGGGGUAAAGGCCCACCAAGGCGACGAUCCGUAGCUGGUCUGAGAGGAUGGUAAGCCACACUGGAACUGAGACACGGUCCAGGCUCCUACGGGAGGCAGCAGUGGGGAAUAUUGGACAAUGGGCGCAAGCCUGAUCCAGCCAUACCGCGUGGGUGAAGAAGGCCUUCGGGUUGUAAAGCCCUUUUGUUGGGAAAGAAAAGCAGCAGGUUAAUACCCCGCUGUUCUGACGGUACCCAAAGAAUAAGCACCGGCUAACUUCGUG